RNAcentral lists this ribosomal RNA (253 nucleotides) under uncultured bacterium. Its description in RNAcentral is "partial 16S ribosomal RNA". It matches the Rfam family "Bacterial small subunit ribosomal RNA", at positions 524 to 776 of the family's 1533-position model. The record is from RNAcentral.
GACGUAGGGCGCGAGCGUUGUCCGGAUUUAUUGGGCGUAAAGAGCUCGUAGGCGGCUCGUUGCGUCGGCUGUGAAAACCCGCAGCUCAACUGUGGGCUUGCAGCUGAUACGGGCGGGCUGGGAUUCGGUAGGGGAGACUGGAAUUCCUGGUGUAGCGGUGGAAUGCGCAGAUAUCAGGAGGAACACCGGCGGUGUAGACGGCUUUCUGGACCGUAGCUGACGCUGAGACACGAAAGCGUGGGUAGCAAACAGG